RNAcentral lists this ribosomal RNA (460 nucleotides) under uncultured bacterium. Its description in RNAcentral is "partial 16S ribosomal RNA". It matches the Rfam family "Bacterial small subunit ribosomal RNA", at positions 338 to 795 of the family's 1533-position model. The record is from RNAcentral.
CCUACGGGAGGCAGCAGUGAGGAAUAUUGGUCAAUGGGCGGGAGCCUGAACCAGCCACGUCGCGUGAGGGAAGACGGUCCUAUGGAUUGUAAACCUCUUUAGUCGGGGAGCAAUGCCGGGCACGCGUGCCCGUAGGCAUAGUACCCUCAGACUAAGCAUCGGCUAACUCCGUGCCAGCAGCCGCGGUAAUCGGGAGGAUGCGAGCGUUAUCCGGCUUUAUUGGGUUUAAAGGGUGCGUAGGCGGAUUUUUAAGUCAGCGGUAAAAUGUCCGGGCUCAACCCGGGCCGGCCGUUGAAACUGGGGAUCUGGAGUGGGGGAGAGGUAUGCGGAAUGCGUGGUGUAGCGGUGAAAUGCAUAGAUAUCACGAAGAACUCCGAUUGCGAAGGCAGCAUACCGGAGUGUGACUGACGCUGAGGCACGAAAGCGUGGGGAUCGAACAGGAUUAGAUACCCUUGUAGUC